This 448-nucleotide ribosomal RNA is filed under the name uncultured bacterium. RNAcentral's name for it is "bacterial SSU rRNA". It matches the Rfam family "Bacterial small subunit ribosomal RNA", at positions 29 to 520 of the family's 1533-position model. The record is from RNAcentral.
AACGAACGCUGGCGGCAUGCCUAACACAUGCAAGUCGAACGAGACCUUCGGGUCUAGUGGCGCACGGGUGCGUAACGCGUGGGAACCUGCCUUUAGGUUCGGAAUAACUCAGAGAAAUUUGAGCUAAUACCGGAUAAUGUCUUCGGACCAAAGAUUUAUCGCCUUUAGAUGGGCCCGCGUUGGAUUAGCUAGUUGGUGGGGUAAAGGCCUACCAAGGCGACGAUCCAUAGCUGGUCUGAGAGGAUGAUCAGCCACACUGGGACUGAGACACGGCCCAGACUCCUACGGGAGGCAGCAGUGGGGAAUAUUGGACAAUGGGCGAAAGCCUGAUCCAGCAAUGCCGCGUGAGUGAUGAAGGCCUUAGGGUUGUAAAGCUCUUUUACCCGAGAUGAUAAUGACAGUAUCGGGAGAAUAAGCUCCCGGGCUAACUCCGUGCCAGCAGCCGCGG